RNAcentral lists this ribosomal RNA (319 nucleotides) under uncultured eukaryote. RNAcentral describes it as "partial 18S ribosomal RNA". It matches the Rfam family "Eukaryotic small subunit ribosomal RNA", at positions 1470 to 1796 of the family's 1831-position model. The record is from RNAcentral.
CCCUUAGAUGUUCUGGGCCGCACGCGCGCUGCAAUGGUCUUCGCAAACGGAUGCAUUCUCGAAGGAGAAUGCCAAUCUUGGAAUCUAUGCCUUGGUCGGGACAGUUGCUUGCAAUUUUUCGACUCGAACCAGGAAUUCCUUGUAAUCGUGAUUCAUCACAUCACGAUGAAUACGUCCCUGCCCUUUGUACACACCGCCCGUCGCUCCUACCGAUCGAAGAGUUAGGUGAAUUGUUUUGAUCGAUAAGAUUUGACUAUGGUCAACUCUCGUUGUGAAAUUCUGUGAAUCUGACUGUUUAGAGGAAGGAGAAGUCGUAACA